RNAcentral lists this ribosomal RNA (497 nucleotides) under uncultured bacterium. RNAcentral describes it as "partial 16S ribosomal RNA". It matches the Rfam family "Bacterial small subunit ribosomal RNA", at positions 28 to 507 of the family's 1533-position model. The record is from RNAcentral.
GAUGAACGCUGGCGGCGUGCCUAAUACAUGCAAGUCGAGCGAACAGACGAGGAGCUUGCUCCUCUGACGUUAGCGGCGGACGGGUGAGUAACACGUGGAUAACCUACCUAUAAGACUGGGAUAACUUCGGGAAACCGGAGCUAAUACCGGAUAAUAUAUUGAACCGCAUGGUUCAAUAGUGAAAGACGGUUUUGCUGUCACUUAUCGAUGGAUCCGCGCCGCAUUAGCUAGUUGGUAGGGUAACGGCCUACCAAGGCAACGAUGCGUAGCCGACCUGAGAGGAUGAGUGGACAGAGUGGAACUGAGACACGGUGCAGAAGACUAAGGGAGGCAGCAGUCGGGAAUAUUGGACAAUGGGCGAAAGCCUUAUCCAGCAAUGCGGAGUGAGUGAAGAAGGUCUUCGGAUUGUAAAGCACUUUGAGUUGGGAGGAAGGGCAGUAAGUUAAUACCUUGCUGUUUUGACGUGACCAACAGAAUAAGAACCGGCUAACUUCGUG